Canis lupus familiaris (dog) is the source of this 135-nucleotide non-coding RNA. Lineage: Eukaryota; Metazoa; Chordata; Mammalia; Carnivora; Canidae. The record is from Rfam.
AGCUUUGCACAAGUGGCAGUAUCAUAGCCAACGAGGUUUAUCUGAGGUGCGAUUAUUGCUAAUUGAAAAAUAGCAAUUAGCUAGUAAAAAUAUUAUUAGAAAUAUUCUCAAAUUCACUUUUUAAAACAUCAGAUU